UGGGGAAUUUUGGACAAUGGGCGCAAGCCUGAUCCAGCAAUGCCGCGUGCAGGAUGAAGGCCUUCGGGUUGUAAACUGCUUAUGUACGGAACGAAACGGUCUUUUCUAAUACAGAAGGCUAAUGACGGUACCGGAAUAAGAAGCACCGGCUAACUACGUGCCAGCAGCCGCGGUAAUACGUAGGGUGCGAGCGUUAAUCGGAAUUACUGGGCGUAAAGCGUGCGCAGGCGGUUUCGUAAGACAGAGGUGAAAUCCCCGGGCUCAACCUGGGAACUGCCUUUGUGACUGCAUAGCUAGAGUACGGUAGAGGGGGAUGGAAUUCCGCGUGUAGCAGUGAAAUGCGUAGAUAUGCGGAGGAACACCGAUGGCGAAGGCAAUCCCCUGGACCUGUACUGACGCUCAUGCACGAAAGCGUGGGGAGCAAACA
This 427-nucleotide ribosomal RNA is filed under the name uncultured bacterium. Its description in RNAcentral is "bacterial SSU rRNA". It matches the Rfam family "Bacterial small subunit ribosomal RNA", at positions 355 to 774 of the family's 1533-position model. The record is from RNAcentral.